AGAGUUUGAUCCUGGCUCAGAACGAACGCUGGCGGCGCGUUUUAAGCAUGCAAGUCGAACGGUAAAAGGGUGCUUGCACCCUUUGAGAGUGGCGAACGGGUGAGUAACACGUAGGUGAUCUGCCCUUUGGUUGGGGACAGCCUGUGGAAACACAGGGUAAUACCGAAUAAGAUCGGGACUCUUUGGAGAUCCGAUGAAAGCAGCUUCGGCUGCACCGAAGGAUGAGCCUGCGGCUGAUUAGCUUGUUGGCGGGGUAAAGGCCCACCAAGGCGACGAUCAGUAGCCGGCCUGAGAGGGUGAACGGCCACAUUGGGACUGAGACACGGCCCAGACUCCUACGGGAGGCAGCAGCUAAGAAUCUUCCGCAAUGGACGAAAGUCUGACGGAGCGACGCCGCGUGGAUGAUGAAGGCCGAGAGGUUGUAAAAUCCUUUUCCUAAAGAAGAAUAACAGUGGUAGGUAAUGACCAUUGGAUGACGGUAUUUGGGGAAUAAGCUCCGGCCAAUUACGUGCCAGCAGCCGCGGUAACACGUAAGGAGCNGAGCGUUGUUCGGAAUUAUUGGGCGUAAAGGGCUUGUAGGCGGCCCGCUAAGUCUGGUGUGAAAUCCCGCAGCUUAACUGCGGAUCCGCCAUUGGAUACUGGUGAGCUGGAGUCCGUGAGAGGAAACUGGAAUUCCUAGUGUAGGGGUGAAAUCUGCUGAUAUUAGGAAGAACACCUGGGGCGAAGGCGAGUUUCUGGCACAGGACUGACGCUAAUGAGCGAAAGCGUAGGGAGCAAACAGGAUUAGAUACCCUGGUAGUC
RNAcentral lists this ribosomal RNA (801 nucleotides) under uncultured bacterium. RNAcentral's name for it is "bacterial SSU rRNA". It matches the Rfam family "Bacterial small subunit ribosomal RNA", at positions 8 to 795 of the family's 1533-position model. The record is from RNAcentral.